Diceros bicornis minor is the source of this 1089-nucleotide long non-coding RNA. RefSeq lists it as uncharacterized. NCBI's taxonomy places the organism in Eukaryota, Metazoa, Chordata, Mammalia, Perissodactyla, Rhinocerotidae. The record is from RefSeq and is a predicted model, not a curated record. The transcript is spliced from 3 exons.
CACACCAGGCCACAACAGUGGCCGACACCAAUGUCCCAGUCCCUGGAGAGGUCUCACCCCUCACCGAGAUGCACUCAGGGCCUAUUAGUCAUUUCAUGGGUUGUAGUUUAAGAUUGAAGUUGAGCAUCAUGAGAAUGCCAUUGUGUGAGGCUUGUCUGUAUAGAACAUAGCAGAACCUGAAAACCACAAGUGCCUUUCUUCAUAUCAAGUGGACUCUGCCAAUCCUCCUUAGAGAUGUUUCUGGAAGUCAGAGUCCUAAAAUGGGUCAGCAAGGCUGCAUUCCUUCUGGAGGUUCAGGGAAGUAUCAGUUUCCUUGCCUUUUCUAGCUUUUAGAGGCCACCUGCAUUCCUUGGCUCAUGGCCCAUCCCCCAUAAUAUCUUCUAAUCUCUCUCUUUGUCUCUCUACCUCUCUUGUUAUAUUGCUUUCUGUUUCAUAAGGAUCCUUGUGAUUGCGUUGAGUCCAUCUGGAUAAUCCAGGAUAAUCUCUCAUCUCAAGAGCCUUAACUUAAUCACAUCUGCAAAGUCCCUUUUGCCAUAUAAGGAAUGUAUUCACAGGUUCUGGAGAUUAGGGCCUACUCCUCUUUAGGGGGCCAUCAUUCAGCCUACCGUAAUCCAAUAGCAAGGAAAUCGAAUAUUUGGGGACAUGAUAGAUUGUCCUUUACAGUUAUUUGUUUUGGAGGUAGGGACAGGGAGAGGUGGAUACGGACCCCUUUCAUGCUCCAUCUUGGUGUCUCCUCCCAGCCCCAGUAGAACACACAUGGAUAGUUAUUUCCAAUAAGAUUGCAGAAAGGAGAAUUGCAAGCAAAGGGAUAAAAGACAAGGAGGACCCCUGAUUUAUAAUUCUUCCCACUGGACAUGUAUCCAGUCAAUGAAAGUGUGGUUUCAGGCAGGCCUACAUUAACAAGCUCCAAAUUAGUGACCUUGUAGAAGAAGGCAGCAUGCUGACUGAAGAAAGAUGGAUAUUUUUUCCACAGGAUUGGCUUUUGGUCUUACUCUGCCAGGCCUGAGGUGUAGGCACAGGGGAAUGAGUCAAUUAGGUCUCCUGCUAUCAGAUCUAUGAGAUCCCUCUUAUUAUGCCACACACACACAC